GACAGAGGUGCCGAGCGUUAGGCGGAAUCACUGGGCUUAAAGCGUGUGUAGGCGGGCCGUUAAGUAUCUUGUGAAAUCCCCCGGCUCAACCGGGGAAUGGCUGGAUAUACUGGCGGUCUUGAGCGAUCUAGGGGCAGAUGGAACAAGUGGUGGAGCGGUGAAAUGCGUAGAUAUCACUUGGAACGCCAAAGGUGAAAACAGUCUGCUGGGGAUCUGCUGACGCUGAGACACGAAAGCCAGGGGAGCGGACGGG
Molecule: ribosomal RNA, 253 nt
Filed under: uncultured bacterium
Lineage: Bacteria
Description: partial 16S ribosomal RNA
Rfam family: Bacterial small subunit ribosomal RNA
Source: RNAcentral